CUCAAUCAACCAGGCAUUACCAAGAUUUCAGAAUUGGUGCCUCCAAUAAAAUUGUGUCAAGAUGUAAGUACUUCCUCACUUAGUCCAUGCUCCUCAGCAAUUAUCCUACAAGAUUCAGCAAAAAUACACACAAUGUCGGCAUAGCUUUCUAUAAAUUUAUGAAUGAUAACUACAGAAAAGUACAGGUACAAUCACUUAACUUAUUUAUACUCUAGAAGCAUACUUGUC
This 228-nucleotide long non-coding RNA is filed under the name Panax ginseng (ginseng). RNAcentral's name for it is "long non-coding RNA (PGIN_LNC015484)". The record is from RNAcentral. Lineage: Eukaryota; Viridiplantae; Streptophyta; Magnoliopsida; Apiales; Araliaceae.